UUUUUGAUGCCGGUAGCUCUACAGCAAGUGAAUACAACAGCCGAGAAGAAAGCACGGUGACAGCCUGCAUUGAACAGACUGCCAAAGUUCUGAGCUCCGCUGUCCAGCUACCACUGGCAAUCGCCGCCACCAAAACAGGGUAGACGGCCCUUACCUUGCAUCGAGCAGAAGUUGAUGACAGCGAUUAAUCUACGCUCCCCUGCUUUCUCACGACGCGCUGAUUGCGGUCAGACUGCAGGCGUAUUUAAUCUAGACAUGCCGCUAGUCUAGCGUGAAGAUUUUGAAGAAUCUUCGUGAAGGUUUUGAUGCUGGUAGUUCUACAGCAAGUGCACAUUCAAGCCGAGAAGGAAACAUGGUGACAGCCUGCAUUAGACAGAUAUUGUGCUUCUGCUUCCUAACAGCGGCAAUGUCAGCCAGCUAUGACAGAGAAUACUCCGAAGCUAAUGAAGUCUUUACGUACCAGGACCCAAGAAUGAUGUUGCAGCACAGUGGCAGCGUGAUACUUUUCAGGACGUCAAGAACCUGGACCCCAUUGUUAGCUUUGUGCUUUCAGUCAAGCUUUAUUGAUAAAAACAGCACGACAUAUCAGCGAACUGCGGAAUUUUAUGCCCCAGCAAAAGUGAAUCAACAGUGGAGUUUGAAAUUCUUUAAUUUAACGCUGCAAAUAACUCCGGAAGUGACAGUGAACAGCCAAACACAGAUUAUUGUAGAAGGUGUGAGAAGCACUGGACGAGGACAUGCUUCAGCAUCGACACCUCUUGGCGUGCAUCUUUUCGCCGGCAGUCCACAAGUAUCCAGUUCUCUUCGCUGAUAACAGAUGCCUAAUUAUCGGAUAUUAUGGCGCCUAUGGACGUUCCUUCUGCAUGCUGUGGGUGGCUGAAGAAGCUCUUCGUAACCCACUACGUCACUGCAACUUUAUGCUCCUUUCAAUGUGCGGAACACCAGCUUAUAAUGCUUACACUUAUGAACAGCAUAAAUUUAAGGUCUGCCAAGAUCUCCGAACGUACAACUUAAAUGGGCACAUUACAUCUAAGGACUUUCGAAUGUAAUAAGCUGCCUUACUUCUUCUCAAGCUCAUACUGUAUACACAAGAACACCUUUGCACUGUUGUCGGUAACAUUCGGCACAAGGAAGAGGCAAGCCGUCUCAGCUUUCCUAAGGAAGAACGCACAAGAGUCAGGAAUGGUGCCUCCUCUUGCAAGAUUGUGUGCGAUUUACAGCUGUGCUAUUUAGGCAGUUGCCUCAGAUGAAUACUGAAUAUAUCACAUUGGUGGCGUAAUAUGCAGGUAUAUUACACAGCCACGUGACAGUAUUAUGAUGUCAGAUGGCCACUAAUGCCGCAUUUUGUGUCCAGCAUAUUGGAUUCGUGUAGUAAGAUAUAAAACAUGAAUAAAAUCGAGAAUUUAGGAAACACCCUAGUGACUCAGCAGUGAAUUACAUUAUUUGACCACUAUAAAAAAUUAAGCCAGAUCCACGCUUCUGAAAUGUGAUGAAACAGCGGAGCUCUGCAAUCGUGGGUGUAUAGCAUAGUGGGUAUGACGCUCGCCUUCGGACCGUGAGUACCCGGGUUGAAAUCUCGCCUCUCUCUCUCUUUUUCUCGCUCUGUGUUUGUCUCUCUCUCUCUCUGACGCUCUCAUUUUGUCUUUCUCAAAUCCAUACCAAGUUGUGUUACAAUCGUCGGUACAACACAACCCCUAAAUGCAUGUUCUGCAAGCGUGGGGUACCUGCCAAGAGAUAAUGAGGAUGGUUUUCUGUUUGACCAGAUUAUGCUGAUGGGCCUACACAGUAUAUGGCGCUUCCGAAUGGCUGGCUAUUUUUGUGACCCAGACGCAAGACCAGCACGCAUGUAUUUCCGCGAAAGUGUGCACAGGUUUCUGGAGAUAUUGAAAGCGCAAACGGAUGUUCCUGAGUGGCUGUCAAGGCUGGAGCCGUUGGUGGAGCUCAGGGAAUUUUAAAAUGACAACGCCUGGCCGCAGUGACAAUUUGGCCACUUGAGCGAUUU
Molecule: RNA transcript, 2002 nt
Organism: Dermacentor silvarum
Lineage: Eukaryota; Metazoa; Arthropoda; Arachnida; Ixodida; Ixodidae
Exons: 9
Source: RefSeq, a predicted model, not a curated record